RNAcentral lists this transfer RNA (75 nucleotides) under Catalinimonas alkaloidigena. RNAcentral's name for it is "Bacteroidetes bacterium CNU-914 tRNA". It matches the Rfam family "tRNA". From Rfam's summary of the family: Transfer RNA (tRNA) molecules are approximately 80 nucleotides in length. Lineage: Bacteria; Pseudomonadati; Bacteroidota; Cytophagia; Cytophagales; Catalimonadaceae. The record is from Rfam by way of RNAcentral.
GGAGCUAUAGCUCAGUUGGUUCAGAGCGCUACCUUGACAGGGUAGAGGUCGUUGGUUCGAGCCCAACUAGCUUCA